This 225-nucleotide ribosomal RNA is filed under the name uncultured bacterium. Its description in RNAcentral is "partial 16S ribosomal RNA". It matches the Rfam family "Bacterial small subunit ribosomal RNA", at positions 109 to 334 of the family's 1533-position model. The record is from RNAcentral.
AGUAACGCGUGGGUAACCUGCCUCGUACAGGGGAGUAACAGUUAGAAAUGACUGCUAAUACCGCAUGAGCGCACAGUGCUGCAUGGCACAGUGUGAAAACUACCGGUGGUAUGAGAUGGACCCGCGUCUGAUUAGCUAGUUGGUGGGGUAACGGCCUACCAAGGCGACGAUCAGUAGCCGACCUGAGAGGGUGACCGGCCACAUUGGGACUGAGACACGGCCCAA